CAGAGUGGUCUCAGGGCAAGCCCGUCCACUGGCCUCGGAGGAGGACCAGGGCUGUACCAGCAGCGUCUGAAAUUCCAGCUCCUCGGCCCCGGCGCCUCCAGGUGAACUCUGGGUGUGGUACGGGGGUCUCCGUUUCCAUGAAACUGAACAACACGCAGUCUCUGACUCAGUGGCUGUCUUGGGAUUUUCCUUUCAAAAGCUUUUACAAUUGCCUUUAAGCAGUCCGUUUGUCUGUCUCUUGUUUAGAACGAGGAAUGACAAUGAACGUUGGAGAGCCUCUCCCGCAGAUGGGUCGCACGGCCUCAGCCUGAGGGAAACGUGUUCCCAUCCCGCUCCAGGGGCAAGUCCCCGCCGGCUCGGACCCCAGGGAGGUGGAGGCAGGCACCGUCCCCUUGUCCGGGUGACCCAGUGUGGCCUCCCUGCUAAGCCCGCAGCCUGGGCUGGCAACAGCCUCGAUCGGGGGCCGGGGGAAGCGGCCGAGAUGUGGCUCGGAGGUGGCAGCUGGCAGGCGGGGUGCUCCAGGGACAGCUGAUGUAUCACGGCCUGAGCCUCCACCCUGGGCGUGACUCGCUUGUCCACAGCAUCGGCAACUCUCUGAAAAGGCUCCUCUGCUACAUGUCACGGUGCCCGGAGGGAGGGAGAGCAGCCAGGACCCGAGGUCCUGCCAAGCUCAUAAAAUCUCCCCGUAGGGACCUGAGAAGCCAGGAGGACCCGGAGCCAGCGGGAGGGAGGCCACGGAGGGGCCCAGGAAGCCUGAGCUGCUUGGAGGGGGAGGCAGCGGCGACCCCGGCGGGGGGCCAGACGUGGUGGAAAGAGGGGCGUCUGCAACUGGAGCAUGGCGGUGACUGUGGAAUUCUGUCCAGCUGCAUUCAGCCAUCCAGCAACAGGUCCCAGCGUGAACAGGUCCCCCGGAGCGAGUGCUCGGGAAUGUCUCCUGGCCAGGCCUGGAGAUGGCAGGAGGCCGGGCGAGGAGCCCCGCGUCUCCCCUGUUUCCGGGCCAUUGUUUUCUUGGCUGGAUUUUGCGGAGGGUUAAGUGUCCCUCUUGGCCUGGCUGCUGAGUGGGGUGAGAGCGAUUGCGUGAACUUGCUUCCUGGCGUGCGGCUGUGAAUGCUUCUCGGCUCGCCUGGCUCCCGCGGUUUCCUUCCCAAGCCCUCCUUGCUGGCAGGAGGGAACAGACACGCGGGGUGUGGAUCCCUCCGGAGCUCGCUGGGGGCCGUUCGCCCCGCUCAUCACUCUGGCCACACUCCCUGCCCGCCCCUUUACAUUCCGGGCUUGCCUAGACAGGCAGAUGGAGUGGGCUUUCGGGAAAGAGAGAGAGAAAAAGGAAUCUUUUCUAUGUGGCUGGUUUUCAACCCUUGAAAUCCCAGUGAAAAUAAUCACACUAAAUACUAUUUGUUGGCAGCCUAGAGACAUGGAACACGGGCUGAAUCCUUUGCGUUUCUUUGUAAUUGGAAAAGGAUGUUUUUACAUCUUGACAUUUUUUGACUCUCAGCCACAUCUAGAUAGAAUUAGUGAGACCCCAAGAAGACAUUCCAUCGAUGCUGGGUAACUGCAAGAACUUUAAACAGAUCUGUCGUGACGUCUCUGAGAAUGGCGGCCCGCAGUGACCUGGAAUCCCACAGUGGCUCUGCCAGGUAUUCCAGGAACAGGCCCCAGGGACACGCAUCUAAUUCAUUAUUUAUGGAGCAAAUUAUCAUUCUCCACAGCAAGCAGAGACCUUGACAAAUGGGCCACCACUGUGGCUUCCUGAUUUUCUUUUCUUUUGGGGGUGUUGAGGGUUGCAACAGACGAUGCCCUAAAGACCUCCAGGGCUGUGCCUGUGCUGGACAUCUGGCCAGCCCUCAGGGUCCUGGACUUGUCCUCAUCUCUACUACUCACCUGCUGCCUGCGAUGCAGACCUGCCUCCCCUGGAUGCUCACAGACUUUUCAUAGCUUUGUGUCUGGUGGGUGCAGCCUUAGUCUCCCAGGAGGCCCCUCCCCAACCAUGGUCAGAGGGAGUCAUGGACCACCUUCCAAGCAUCAGCUGACCUUAAAUGCAUGGAUCAGUGAAGCGGCGGCAAGAGUCCAGCUGGGCAGUCCUCAGGACUGGUUAAUUUGUGUACUUGAUGGAGAGCUUCAUGCAAAAUGACACAGAGACAGACACACAGAGGACAGCCUGUGAUGACGGGGCAGAGACGGAAGCGGCGAGUCUACAACCCUCGGCACACCCAGGGUGGCUGCGACCCUCGGAUGCCAGGGAGAGGCGAGGAAGGGUGUCAGUCAGAAUUUCAGAGGGCACAGCACCCUGCUGACACCUUCAGGUAGGACUUUCAGAACAAAUUCCUAUUGUUUAAAGCAAUCCAGUGUGUGGUGCAGCCCUAGAAAAGCAGGACAGAAAUUGUGUUACUUUCACAGGAGACUGUAUUCAUCCAUUAAACAGCAGUGCCCUGAGAAUAAUGCUUGGUGACACAGGAAAAUACUUGUGCUUCAGUAAAUUAAAAAAAGAAGCGAAUUGCAAACAGCAUGUACUGUACGAUUCAAUUUCUGAAAAACAAAAUAUGUACUUAUUCACGGAGAAAAAUGACUGUAGAAAUGCAUGGCAAUGUUCACCACGAUGUUCUUGCUUGUGAUUAAGAUUGUGGAUAUUUAUGUGUACUUUUGGUUUAUCUUCGUUUCUCAAAGUUUCACAAUGUAUGUGUAUUGUUCUGAUAGCAAGAAAAAAAAAUGCCGGACUUCUCUUAGCAAAGACAAAUGCCAAGAGCAAAAAUGUGUGUAACAAAUUUGGAAGACAAAGUUUGAAUAUGCUGGAAGUGUAUGAACCAAAAAGGGAGACAGAAAUCCUAACAGCAGAGCCAGAGAUCCUUAUACACAAGAGAAAGAGACAGGAAACAUUAAUGAAAUACUCAAAUGCUUUAGCAACAUCAGAAAUGCAAAUGAAAUCAUUGUUUUCCAGUAAAAUAGGGCAAGUGGUAAUACUCAGUUUGAUGGAGUUGGGUGAAAUGGAAACUCCUUCUUCUGCAGGAGGGUAUGAGUGUAGAAGUUCCAGGAUGGGCCAUUGUGGGGACGCCUAAGGGGGCGCUGUCCGCUGAUUCCAGAGUCUUUCCUGAGAAAGUAAUUCCAGACAUGAAAGAUGUUUCAAUACAGUGACCUCCAGCCAAGCAGACCUGGACCCUAUUAAAACAAUGGCCAAUCGGCUCUGGAGCAUGCGAAGGACAAGGGACACAUUCCCACCAUUUUUCAUGCAUGGGGAACAUUUUCAACAUGAAAUUAACCCAAGAAGGCCUUGAUCUGGAAACGCGUCAGCACUGUGGUUCGGUAAGUGGGAUUUAUUGGGUGAUUGUUGGCAUUGCCCACUCACAUGCAGUCUCUUGGUCUAUCAUGGCCGGGGCAGCCUCGGUGCAUGUGUGUGGGUCCCAGAGGGGAUUCAGAUCCUGCAGCUGUGACCACCGCUCUAUCUGCAGGGGAGCCCACAGUCAGGGCUGCCGCCGACUGAAGAGGGCUCUGGCUAGUUACCCACCUGCCAGUGCCUCAGUUUCUCUUUCUGUAGAGGUGAUAUUCUUUGAUUGUUAUGAAAAACUGAUAUGUAGAGAAGAGUUAACAACAACAACAAAACCCAGGUGGAAACAUAUACAAGUUGUCAGUACUUAUAUCUGGCUAAGAUUGCAGGAUUAUUUUUUAUUCUCGGUUUUCCAAAAUGUUAAUGACUUGGCAAUAUUCAUUUUUUAUGAAAAUAAAAAAAUCUCAGCUUCUAAAUAUAUGCCCUUCCCACAUAAUGAGGUCUACCAAGGCUUUUCUGGGUGUGUGGCCACCUGAGAGUCUGGGGAAUAAGCUCUGAGUGUGGCACGGGGGAGCCACCCGCUCACUGCUGACCACACCUCGGAGAGUCACCUGUCCUCAUGCUUCUGUGAAGCCAGCAUCCGUCUGGCCCCAGCCUUGCUGUAGGUCCCAGGGCAUCAGGGAGCCGCUGACAGUGCCCAGGAGAAAGGUACUAGCAGAAGCAUCUGAUGGCAGCAUAACCAAAUAUUCAGAAUUUCACACAUGGGAGAUUUCUUUUCUGAGAACCUCAAAGUUCAUACAAAAAUUAAUUAAAGCAAGGUCUGUGGAAAUAGCAAUUAUGUCUGUAGUAUGUUUGCUUUGAUGUUACAUAGGUUAAAUGGUAUUAAAAACAGCAAAAUAUAUGGCAUGAAAAUAUAUAGCAAACUCUGAGCUCCUGCAAACACAACCAGAGCCUAUAUUAACAGUGAAAGAGCCCAAUACAAUUGCAGAACAUGACCAUGAAAUAGUACUGGACAACAAACAGUAUUAGGAGAAGUAUAUUAUAGCCAGAAGUGUAGAGGUAAGUGAAGGUCAGAGACAUGAAGUAUGUAAAAAAAAUAAUUUUAGGUUAUGUAGAAAAUGAUCUUAAGUGCCAAUCUUUUUCUUCCCAGAUGUCUUUAAAGACAUCCAUCUUUGAAGCAGCAGCUAGAGUCCAGCUGGGCAGUCCUCAGGACUGGUUAAUUUGUGUACAUGACGGACGGCUUCUUGUGCAGCCCAUACUUUGAGUUGUCCAACGUUGCUGCUGCUUCUCCUUGCUGAUGUCACCUGCUCAAAUCUGUGAAGAUGGUGAAGGCCCUGCAAGAAAGAGGAGGUUCAGGAGGUCACAGUUCAGAGGGGACACAGGCUCCAAUACCAAACCCAGGUUAGGGAUCUUGAAAAGAUGAUUGCAAUUAUAUGGUGAUAUGGUUAGGCUUUGUGUCCCCACCCAAAUCUCACCUUGAAUUAUAAUCUCCAUAAUCCCCACAGGUCAAGGGAGAGACGGGGUGGGGGUGAUUGGAUCAUGGUGGGGGCUUCCCCCAUGCUGUUCUCGUGAUAGUGAGGGAGUUCUCAUGAGAUCUGAGGGUUUUUGUUUUUUCGUUUUGUUUUGUUUUUGAGAUGGAGUCUCACCCUCUCACCCAGGCUGGAGUACAGUGGCACAAUCUUGGCUCACUGCAACCUCCGCCCCCCGGGUUCAAGCAAUUCUCUGCCUCAGCCUCCCAAGUAGCUGGGAUUACAGGCACCUGCCACCAUGCCCAGCUAAUUUUUGUAUUUUUGGUAGAGACGUGGUUUCAUCAUCUUGGCCAGGCUGGUCUUGAACUCAUGACCUCGUGAUCCACCCACCUCAGCUUCCCAAAGUGCUGGGAUUACAGGCGUGAGCCACCGUGCCUGGCAGAUCUGAUGGUUUUAUAAGGGGCUCUUCCCCCUUCGUUCGACACUCUCCUUCCUGCUGCCUUGUGAAGAAGGUGCCUUGCUUCCCCUUCCCCUUCUGCCAUGAUCAUAAGUUUCCUGAGGCCUCCCCAGCCAUGCAGAACGGUGAGGCAAUUAAACCUAUUUCCUUUAUAAAUUAUCCAAGUUUCUGAAUUGGACCCAUUCAUUUAAACUUUUUUGUGCCUCUGGUAUGUACAUAUGUAUAUAUGUAUUCAUUUAUUUAUUUACAACCUGUGUAAUGGGCACAUUGAAGACCUUUGUCCCGACCUCAUCGUGGAGACCUGAAAUGCAAAGAUGGCAUCUCCACUGCCCCCUCCUGUACAGAACACAAACUGCAGGUUUUUGUACCUUAUCAUUGGCUUCAUCACAAGGAGCCGACUUCUCCAAAUCUCCUGAGUGAUGCUUAGGAGAUGUGACAUUCUUAUGAGGUUUUCAUGACACCAAAGAAAACCUCUCCUGGUGAAUUUGGAGGCAUAUUGUCCCAAAUCCGCAGAACCGCAGGCAGUCCAGAGGGACCCUUGGGUAACAGUGCUUGGACAAGGUGACUUCAAUCCCCGUAGAAAUGAUUAUGAAACAUCAAAAUAUAAUUCUUCUUGAGUAGGUUUUGCUUUCUGAAUAUUGCCUCAAUGUCACUUUGAAAUCAAAGGCUUCUACCUGACACCCGUCAAUCAUCUGACACACUUGCGGCUUGUCUGCCAGGGCUUCAGUCCUCUCACCUCCGUUGCUGUUUGUGUCUGGAUGCGGAGCGUCUUCCUCAGUCCUCUCACCUCCGUUGCUGUUUGUGUCUGGAUGCGGAGCGUCUUUCUCCAACAAAGAAUGGAGUUGCUUUCAGAGCAGACUCCGAGGCUCGGGUCCAGCACUGCAUGCUGUCUCGCACCUUUCCUUAAAUGCCGCUCUGGACGGGUGGCAGAGAUUCACCUCCUCUGAUGCAAACCAAACUCUGAAUUUGUUCAGAGACACAAUCAAUUAUGUGCUUUCUGUGGUGGCAGGUGCUAUGGAAAUCAGGCCUAGAAAUGUUUUUUGGGGUGAAGGAGUACCACAAAAAUUUAUAACCAAAUUUGGAACGAAGCCAAGAAGAGAUCAGCGAGUGCACGGAGACAGUUGGUGCGGUUGGCCUGACGAUUCAUGACUGGAUUCACUGGGUGGGAGAAUUUCACAGCUGCGUUACAGGACGCUGGAUUCACUGGGUGGGAGAAUUCCACAGCUGCGUUACAGGAUGCUGGAUUCACUGGGUGGGAGAAUUUCACAGCUGCGUUACAGGACGCUGGAUUCACCGGGUGGGAGAAUUCCACAGCUGCGUUACAGGAUGCUGGAUUCACUGGGUGGGAGAAUUCCACAGCUGCAUUACAGGAUGCUGGAUUCACCGGGUGGGAGAAUUCCACAGCUGCAUUACAGGAUGCUGGAUUCACUGGAUGGGAGAAUUCCACAGCUGCGUUACAGGAUGCUGGAUUCACUGGAUGGGAGAAUUCCACAGCUGCGUUACAGGAUGCUGGAUUCACUGGGUGGGAGAAUUUCACAGCUGCGUUACAGGAUGCUGACCACUCUGUCUGCCCGUCUCUGGCUCCAAACUGCAUCUGGAGGUCAGCAGAAAAGAGGAGAGAGGCCUAUGGUUGUGUUGACCUAUCUGGGGCUUUGGACUUCAGGGACUGAGCAGGGCUGGAAUUAGAACCAAAGUGUGGGCUCUGCCCUGUGCCCUGUGCUUGGCUCAGGUGGGGACAGAGUCAGCUGAUUUCACAUUGAUUUCAGGGCCAUGCUCCUUGAGCAUUGUCUCUGGGGUGGGGUUAGAUGCACACGCAGACAAUCUCCCCUACCUGUCUCUCUCAAAGCACUCCCACCCAAGCCUCCUGCCACAGCGCAGCUCUGCCUGCCCCACACAGGCUUCACCCCUCCCUCGAGGCUCUGCAUGGGUUAGGAUCACAGCCCUCCUGGACACACCAUAGUGCCCGGCACGACACACGCGUCUCCAGUCUGUAUGCCCAACUUCAUCAGCAACUGUUUGGAAGAUGCAGGCAGAGACCUGGAGACUUAGGGAGAGCGUGGGCCCACCUGGGUGCUUUCUUGGGUCACCAGGGGCCUCCGCCUGCAGCCACAUCUCUGGCUCAGAGCAGCAGCCAUGGCCCCUCUCACAGAGUGGCCUGCUCUCCCGUGGCCCAGGUAGUACCCUGCUCUGCCAGGCUGCACACACUGAGCACAAACGAGGAGCCCCUGGCAGCCCCUCAGGUAUGGUUGCUGUCAGCCUCACACAGGAUGGAGAGUGCAGUGUAGGGAGAGGUGGGAGCAGCUGGGCACGACAUCUCAGCUUUCGAGUGGCUGUGGCAGUCCCUGCAAGCGUCCCCUCAAGAUUAGACAAUCACUUGGUAACAAUUCAAGGAGAUGCUUUCUGUUCACUUUACCCUGGCUUGCUGUAUGACCUAUCAAACGAGUUUGGUUCUCUCCAGGUUGCUUUCGUGAGAAACAUCGUGUCCAUGUUCAUAGUAUACACAUUGAUAUGGUUUGGCUGUGUCCGCACUGAAAUCUCACCUUGAGUUGUAGCUCCCAUGAUUCCCACAUGUCGUGGGAGGGAUCCAGCGGGAGGUCACUGAAUCACAGGGUGGAUCUUUCCCAUGCUGUUCUCGUGAUAGUGAAAGUCUCAUGAGAUCUGAUGGUUUUAUAAAGGGCAGUUCCCCUGCACAUGCUCUCUUGCCUGCUGCCAUAUAAGACGUGCCUUUACUCCUCUUUCGCCUUCCACCAUGAUUGUGAGGUGUCCCCAGCCAUGUGGAACUGUGAGUCCAUUAAACCUCUUUCCUUUAUAAAUUACCCAGUCUUGGGUAUGUUUUUAUUAGCAGCAUGAGAACAGACAAAUACACACAUACUGCAAAAAUAAUACCAAAGCAUACAUUGGUAAUCAGCAACAUGUCCCAAAAGUACUUUCAAUAGGCUGUCUUAAAAACAGAAUAAAACACAAAUGCAUGAUUGUUCUUGGUGCUGCAGGAAUCAGUCCUUGUGUGAGCUUUGGCUUGGGUGGCAGGUCACUGGGGAGCCUGCUGCUUUCUGGAAGAUGAUUUUAUGCAACUUUAUCCAAUUUAAGCAAUCAUGAAAACAAUCUACCAGAAUUUCUGCUUUGUAAAGGCACUUGGAUUUACAAAAAAAAAAAAAAAGUUUUUUCAUGAGCCAGUCAGCCACUAGAAAUGUCAGACAACACACUCAUCUGGUGGUUGACAGACAGAAAGACAGGUCCAUGCUUGCCGUGUGGCCUCAGGCCGUUGAAGAUGGGGAGCCGAACCAUCCACCGGGCACCUGCACCUCAGGAGCUCCUUCCUGAUCCGAGGCUGCCUCGGCGCCCACCUGAACACCGGUUCUCCACUUCCUUCCGGUUGUUCAAAGCUACCUCCAUCGUGCACUUAACAACAUUAUUUUAUUGAUUCUAAAGUUAAGUGUACCCCCUAAAAAUUUUCAAAAUACAGAGAAGUACCACAAAUCUCUAGCCCACCUUGUGUGCUGGUCACGCUCUGUUGGGUAUCUUUCCAGUCUCUUCUAUGCACAGCUGUAAAAACGCAACACACACUCUUGGCCUCCACCUCCCAGGUGCCCUCUGCCCUCUGCCUUUCCAGCCCCUCAGUCACUGAAACCCCAGUGACUGUCUCCUUUGGAACCUGGCGGCCUCCUGGCCUCUGUGCCCGCAUGGCCUUUCCUGCGUUUCUGAGUCUUAGCCAGCUGGCUGCUCUCUGCCUUGUGCUCCCUCCGCCACCUGCUUCUCCAGGGGCUGCUCCCACCCCUCCAGGGUCCUUCACUUGUUCCUGCUCUUCUACCGCCCCUGAAGGUUUGGCAUUUCCGGGGUUCCUGCCCUUGACUCUUCCUCGGAGGCUCCUCAGUCUGUGUGUACCCCUGGGCUCUGUGGGGACACCCUGAGGGCUCCAAGUCCAUUUCUCCACAUCUGGUCACCAUCACCACACAGCCCAGAGGCCGGUGCCCCAACCAGGCAAGCACCAAGCCCACCAUGGCUCUCCCUAGGCCCUCCUUGCUGGUGGCUGGUCCCCUAAACUAGCACCCCUGAAGCUGGUGGCAGCAGCUGUAUCGGGGUUUGUUUGCCGGGCAUCUCCUGUGUCUGAAAUGUGGGCAUGCGAUCCUCGCAGCCUCUUUUGCUGAGGGGCGUUGCUCCUCUUAUGGGUCCGUGAGGAUGCAACAGGACCAGGCAGCUCGGGUAGGGGGCGCUCCCUGCAGAGCGAGCCUCCAGCUGCUGCCUUGACAAAGGCAGACCAACACCUUUGUCUCCAUGGGUGCCUGUGGACCCUCCUGUCCUGAGGCAUCCCCACCCCUUGCCUCCCCCUAACACAGAUGUUGAGUCAUAUGCUUAAGGAAAAGACGGAGCCCAAACCCAAACCAGUUCUGCUGAACCCCAGCGUUGCCGGUGGUAAACCUCCCGCCCCGGCUCCCCUUGGGAUAUUCCUGAUAACUUCUUAGUUUGAUCCUGCCUUUGGGAAAUGCUAGGAUAAUCUCCACUUUCGGGGAAUGCCAACCUUUUUCCUUGGAGCGUCUCACCUCCUGCUGUGGGAUGGCUACUCACACCUGUCGGUGUAUUUUGUUGCCAUGAACAUGACAGGUUAAUCUGGGGGUGGAAGCCGAGCUGGUCAAUCGGACUGAUUUUACUUGUUUGAGUGUUUUUAAAUAUGAUGAAGCGAGGUCUGGGUAUUUUAAUUUUGUUUAUUAUUCGGUCUUUUUGGGUUACUUAGUGAGACUACAUAAACUCAUCCAAAAACAGCUAGUGUUGUGCCACAUAAAUGCGCUGGUACUGGAACAGAAUUAGAUCAAUAAGCAGUGAAGACAGGAUGACUGAGAUGAACAGGACGGUGGAAGAAAAAUCAGAACUUGCAGCAAUGGGGAGGUCUGGAGCAGCCCCACAUGGCACUGCUGGGAACACAUGCCUGGACCCGAAGCCACAUACCUGGACCCAAAGCCACACAGGUCAGUGGCCCAUCCUGACGCUAGCCAGGUUUACUAAGCAUCAACACUGCGGAAGACAAUGACUGGUGCUGGCUCAGCAGCUGUGGAAAUGGUGAUGCCCUGGCUCCUACUGUGGGAAUGGUGAAGUGCUGGCUUUAUUGUUGUAGGACUGUUGAAGUGCUGGUCCUGUUGGUGUGGGCCUGUUGAGGGGCUGGCUCCAUUGCUGUGGGACUGUUGAAGUGCUGGUCCCAUUGGUGUGGGAUUUUUGGGGUGCUGGCUCCAUUGCUGUGGGACUGUUGAGGUGCUGGUCCCAUUGCUGUGGGUCUGUUGAAUAUGGGCUUCAUUGCUAUGGUAAUAUUGAUGAAGACAGGAGAUGGGAUUUUGUGGCCCUUUCUGAGUUUCUUUAUCAGAUGCCCGUCCUGCAUAGCAGCUGGUGCUGCAUAUUGCAGUCAGAAUUCAGCCUCAUUCCUCCCACCUCUGUGGAUCCAAAUGGUCUUUUGCUCCCCGACCUUUUGCAAAUCCUUGCUGUUUCCCAAAGGAAGCAAAUCUGUAUUUUUCUGUUUUCAGACAAACUGAUGACCAGUUCAGUCCCCUCAGAAUCUUAGAGUGUCCAGAAAAUAUGUACUUUCCCUUCAGCAGGUGUCUUGAUCUGAAUGCUGUCUACACCUUUAUCUCCCUAGGUGGAAGUUCCUCAGUCUCACCUACACCCCUCAGGGGUGGAGACAUUAUACACUAAAGGGCAAGAUGCAGACAUUGGCUAGAAAGAAACAUUCCUGGCUAGUGAGAAACAAGUUAUGUGUAUAUUUUAAAAUGAACCAAAAAUGUUUCCUUGAACAGCUUCCAAAUUCAUAAAUGCAUAGAAAAACGAGUCUGACUAAGAGCAGCUGGCAUUUUCAGCUGCCCCAGUUUUACCUGUUUCCAGGUAAGCAGGAGACACGUCUGCUGGGGCAGUGAUUUAAGAGAGGCACUCACCUAAAAUAAGCAGCCAAAACCAUCCUGGUUAUUACAAAUGUCACAGAAAAUAAGUGGAAUCCACUUCAUUGGAAUACAUCGACAUGAAACCCGGACUGUUAUUUCUAAGAAAGUAAUUAAUGUUUCACCUCUUACAUGCCAUUAUUAAUGCUAACAACAGUACUUUACGUGUAUAGUAUUUUCCUCUUUCAAGCCGUUUUUAUCAGAGACCACAUAGUCUUGUCUGAUUUGAAAUAUGACAUUAAGGAUGCAUAUUUAAAUCUCCCACUACAAUUGCAGACUUCUUUCUCUUUAAAUUCUACUUUUUUUUUGUUUUCUUUAUUUUGGGACUAUCUUAUUAGGUACAUAUAAGGUUAUGCCUAUUAUAUUUUCUUGAUUAAUUGCUAUCUUCAUCAUUAUAUAUUAUCACUCUUUAUCCUAUGUAGUGCUUUUUGGUUUAAACUAUAUUUUGCUUGGUAUAAAUAUAACUACACUGGUUUUUUUAAAGUAUUUGCUUGAUAAAACUUUGCAAUUUUUUGCUUGUUAUCUUUCUGCAAUUUUAUAUUUUAUACAUAUCUGUUGUAAAGAAGACAUUGCUGAGCCUUCAAGCUGCUGAAUUUGAUCCAUUUACACUUAUUUUGAUUACAGAUAGAUUUGGAAUUUCAAAAAAUGUAUCUUUGUAAGGCACACUUUGUUUUGGGCAGAUUCAUCUGAUUUUAUAAAAUGAGAAAACAAACAGAAAAAAGUUAAAUAAUUUUGUGAAUGCUAUAAAAUAAAACAGUGAAAUUGCUAAUUAUUUUAAGGCCACUGUGCAGAAAACUGCUUAAACAUAUAUGAAAAUAACACAGCUCUUAACAGAUUGCCCUAGUAAUUUCCGCAGAACUUCUGUAAGUAUAUAGAAAUUAAAAAUGGGAUUGGAUUAAUAAUUGUAUAAUAACACUAUCUGGACUUUAACCUUGAUUUUCUUUUUUCUUAUAUGCAAUUAUACUGAAACAUGAAGAUAAAAUAUACUAAUUUUGUUCAGAUUAUCUACCUCAAAUGAAGCAAAUACAGUAUUUUUCAACGUGUAAUUGUCUACUUUUCAAAAUAACUUUUUAUUAAAGAAAGGCUCAUAAUGCUAUGCCUUUAGACAGUACUCCUAAUUAAUGUAAGAUUUCAGCAACACAACAUUACACAGAGAGAUUACACAUGCAAUCAUAAAAAACUACAUAUAAAUAUUUAAAAACAUGACAUUUGUGAAUUAUUUCAACCUUCACAGACUUCUUUAUAAGCAUGUUUCAUGAAAAAUAAGGGGUCCAGAUAUAACUCUAAGUUAAACCGUACUUUAAGUUAAACCUUAAGUCUCCCCAUAAAGGUGUCCUAGAGCAGAUGUCCACCAAUCCAGGCAUUGCAAUGCCUGGGAAUCAAUGGUGUAAUCAGCAAGGUGGAAUUGGAUAUGUGGUGAUAGCUAUCGAUGUUUACGACAGGUGGGUGCACCGUCAAGUUGGAGUCUGAACUUGAUAAAUUGGCGCUCUUGGAAAAGGUGGGUGAGAGUCAUUGUGGAUGUGGAUAGGAGCAGAGCGGUCCUGAGCAGGACGCCAAAACAGAGGAAGCUUCGGAGGACGCUUGUGCCUUCCUGAGAAUGAGGCCACAGAGCACAGCGGGAGCCAGGGGGAGUUUCACAAAGGCUGCUUUUGACUUGGUUUUGCAAUCACCUUUUUACUAGUAGGUUUUAUUUCGUUUGUCUUCUGUUGGGAAUUUAAAUAUUAGGAAAACAAAUUGGGAUUAUCUGUCUAGACUACCCUGUCAGUCCAUCUGAGGCUUGUGUCAUCUUAGAGCUAGCUAUAUAUUAGGUAAGGCUUAACGGCUAGCUGAAGGGUGACGCUUCCUCAGCUAGGAGGAGAUGGUUUUUUACAGCAGUGCUGACUCCACAGGAAGCCACCCAGUGUGCUAGGAACCACACUGGAAACACAAAUCUGGAACAGUGGUUUGUUUUUGUUGUUGGGGGUGUUAACAUUGUUACCUGAAAAUUAAUAAUCUUUUAAAGAUGUGGCAAAGCCUAAUGGCACCCUCCUGGGUAGCAAGUCCAACGUUGUCCAGGCACUCACCAUUUACAGAACGAAUAUUGCAAAACGGUUUUGUGGGCUUGUGUUGUUUCCUUCCCUUCUUUUUUCUUGCUUACUGGCACUAAAAGUCAGCCUUUCAUUGUUGAAACAGUUGACCAUAAUCUUAAUUUACAUUUACUCUAUGUUUCAUCAUAAGCUGUAAUGCCUUUUAGCAUAAAGUGGAUUAAUCAGAAAUCGUAGCCGAAUUGGCAAUUCAAUUGUUAAUAGUACUUUUUCUAACAUUCAAAAACUUUUCCUCUGUUUUGAAUUUAUUCAUUUUAAAUGACUAGAACAAAUUUGAGCAAGUAAAAGCUGGUAAGCUUGAGAUUUUUCUGGUUUAAUUAUUUUUCUGGUUUCACUUUAGCUUUUAAAUCCUUAGACUAUGGUCACAAAUAUAAUCCAGUGCAUAAUUGUCUCCUAAUUUGACUGACGACUUAACUGCUGAGUUGUUUUAUGGCUUUUCACAUGGUUAUACUGAAGGACAGUCUACAUGCACUUGAAAAGAUGAUAUAUUCUGCUGUUGUUGAGAAUGGUCCCUAGAUAUUAGUUGGGUCAAGUUGGUUAAUAGUGUUGUUCAAAUCUUCUGUAUCCUGGCUACUUUUUCAUCUGGUUUUCCAUCAGUUAUUCAGAGUGGGAUAUUAAAGUGCCCAACUAUCAUUGUGCAAUUGUCUAUUUCUUUCUCCAGUUUUAUUAGUUUUGCUUCAUUGUAAAAAUAUUUCAUGUACUUUGACACUCUGUUAUUAGGUGGGUAUAUAUUUACAAUUAUAUUUUGCUGGUAAAUUGACUUUUUUGUAAUUAUAAAAAUCCUUAUUAAGUUUUAGUAAUGUGUUUUGUCUUAAAAUUUACUUUGUCUGAUAUCAGUAUGGCUACUAUAGCCCUUGCACGAUUACUGCUUGCAUGGUAUAUGUUUUUUCAUCAUUUGCUUUUAAACGCUUUUGUGUCUGAAACUAAAGUGUGUUUCUUGCAUACCAUUUGAUUUUUUUCUGGUUGUUUUGUUUUAAAUUCAUUUAAACCAUCUUUAAUUUUGGAUUGGAGUUUUUAAUGCAUUUAUAGGUAAUGGAUUUAUUAGUAUAAGUAAUGGCUGAAUUUAUUUCCACCAUAAGAUGGCUGAAUUUAUUUCUACCAUCUUGAUGCUAGUUUUAUUUUAUGUCUUUUUUGUUUGCCCAUUCUUUCUUUACUACUUUCUUUUAUGUUCAAUAGCAAUUUUCUAAUGUACCAUUUUAUUCCUUUUUAAAUGUUAUUCUCUUGGGAAAUAUUGCUCUAGGGAUUAGAGUAUACACAUUUACUUAUCAUAGUUUAUUUUAUGUUAAUACUAACUUAAUUCUGGCAAAAUAGAAACACUUUGCUCCAAUACAGUUUUAUCCUUUCCCUCCUUUUUGCUGUCAUUGUCAUGAAUGUUACAUGUAUAUAUAAGCAUUUAUAUUGCAUUUUAAAUAAGUUCAAAGAACAAUGCAAAAAUGUUUAUACUGUUUAUGUUUACCUGCAUAAGAACUUUAACAUUGCUCAUUAUUUCUUCAUGGGCAUUUGAGUUGCCAUUUGGUGUCAUUUUUUUUCUAUCUGAAGGAUUUCCUUUAGUAUUUCUUGUAGGAUAGGUAUGCUAUUGAGAGGCUGGGUUUCUGGGUCGGGUAGGGACUUGGAGAACUUUUCUGUCUAGCUAAAGGAUUGUAAACACACCAAUCAGUGCUCUGUGUCUAGCUAAAAGUUUGUAAACGCACCAAUCAGCACUCUGUAAAAACGGACCAAUCAGCACUCUGUAAAAUGGACAUGUCAGCACUCUGUAAAAUGGACCAAUCAGCAGGAUGUUGGCGGGGCCAAAUAAUGGAAUAAAAGCUGGCCACCCCAGCAAGCAGGGGCGACCCGGUCGAGUCCCCUUCUCUGCUAUGGAAGCUUUGUUCUUUGGCUCUUUACAAUAAAUCUUGCUGCUGCUGCUCACUCUUUGGGUCCGCACUAUCUUUAUGAGCUGUAACACUCACUGUGGAGGGCUGCGGCUUCACUUCUGAAGUCAGUGAGACCACGAACCCACCAGAAGGAAGAAACUCCGGACACAUCUGAACAUCUGAAGGAACAAACUCUGGACACACCAUCUUUAAGAACUGUAACACUCACAGCCAGGGUCCACGGCUUCAUUCUUGAAGUCAGCGAGACCAAGAACCCACAGGAAGGAACCAAUUCCAGACACACUGUCAGCAAACUGUCUCAAUAUUUGUUUAUCUGGAAAAGUCUUUUUUAAAAUUUUUGCUUUCACCUUUGAAAUAUAUUUUUGCUGACUAUAGAAUUCUUUACUGAUAGUUUUCUUUCUUUCUUUUGGAACUGUUAAUAUGUCAUCCCAAUACCUUCUUGUAUACAUUCUUUGUUAUGAGAUGUCUGCUAUUAAUUUAUGAUGGUUACCUUAUAUAUGGUCAUAGAGUUUGGAUACCUGUCCCUGCCCAAAUCUCAUGUGAAAUUGUAAUCCCUAAUGUUGGAGGUGGGGCCUGAUGGGAAGUGUCUGGGUCAUGAGGGCGGCUCCCUCAUAGCUUGGUGCUGAAUUUGCAGUAGUGAGUGAGUUCUCGUGAGAUCUGGUCAUUUAAAGGAAUGUAGCACCUCCCGUCCAGUCUCUCACUUGUUCCUGCUUUUGCCGUGUGACGCACCUGCUCCCCUUUUGCCUUCUGCCAUGAUUGCAAGCUUUCUGAGGCCUCCCCAGAAGCUGAGCAGAUGCCAGCACCAUGCGUUCUGUACAGCCUGCAGAACUGUGAGCCAAUUAAACCUCUUCCUUAUAAA
Molecule: long non-coding RNA, 15914 nt
Organism: Pan troglodytes (chimpanzee)
Lineage: Eukaryota; Metazoa; Chordata; Mammalia; Primates; Hominidae
Exons: 2
Source: RefSeq, a predicted model, not a curated record